CCUACGGGAGGCAGCAGUGAGGAAUAUUGGUCAAUGGGCGCGAGUCUGAACCAGCCAAGUAGCGUGAAGGAUGACUGCCCUACGGGUUGUAAACUUCUUUUAUAAAGGAAUAAAGUGAGGCACGUGUGCCUUUUUGUAUGUACUUUAUGAAUAAGGAUCGGCUAACUCCGUGCCAGCAGCCGCGGUAAUACGGAGGAUCCGAGCGUUAUCCGGAUUUAUUGGGUUUAAAGGGAGCGUAGAUGGGUUGUUAAGUCAGUUGUGAAAGUUUGCGGCUCAACCGUAAAAUUGCAAUUGAUACUGGCAGUCUUGAGUACAGUUGAGGUAGGCGGAAUUCGUGGUGUAGCGGUGAAAUGCUUAGAUAUCACACAGAACACCGAUUGCGAAGGCAGCUUUCCAAGCUAUUACUGACGCUGAGGCACGAAAGCGUGGGGAGCGAACAGGAUUAGAUACCCGUGUAGUC
Molecule: ribosomal RNA, 460 nt
Filed under: uncultured bacterium
Lineage: Bacteria
Description: partial 16S ribosomal RNA
Rfam family: Bacterial small subunit ribosomal RNA
Source: RNAcentral